CACGUAGGGGACGAGCGUUGUCCGGAAUCAUUGGGCGUAAAGCGCGCGUAGGCGGCCAGAAAAGUCCGCUGUGAAAACUCGAGGCUCAACUUCGAGCUGUCGGUGGAAACUUUCUGGCUAGAGUCCGGAAGAGGAGAAUGGAAUUCCUGGUGUAGCGGUGAAAUGCGCAGAUAUCGGGAGGAACACCUAUGGCGAAGGCAGCUCGCUGGGACGUUACUGACGCUGAGACGCGAAAGCGUGGGGAGCAAACAGG
RNAcentral lists this ribosomal RNA (253 nucleotides) under uncultured bacterium. RNAcentral describes it as "partial 16S ribosomal RNA". It matches the Rfam family "Bacterial small subunit ribosomal RNA", at positions 524 to 776 of the family's 1533-position model. The record is from RNAcentral.